ACCGGGUAUGGUUGUAACAUGGGGAGAGUUGUAACACCACCAGUUCCAACAAUCAGGGAUAAGAUAGGAGUCACAUGAUCAUUCCAGCAUUUACCCGCUUCCUCCCCAAUCCCAUAUUGUGAUUGUCAAGGCUGGAAACAGGCACAUGCAGAUACUAAGGAGAAAAAACGGAUUUUGAGAAUGCCUAGGCAGUGAAUACAAAAGACUGAUGCUACUUACCUUCCCCUCCCCACUGUUGCCAUAAACUUCAGCCACUGGAUCGCAGUGUCUACGCCCCAUUUAAGAAAAUGGUGAACGCCGCAAGUGAUGCCUGGAUGAAGAUGAAUCCUGCCAAGACGAUAUAUGAUAUUCCAAGUAUUGUGAAGACUGCUCUGCCUGCAGCUGCAACACUGAAAAACAUUCAAGCCGGUUUCCAAUCCACUGGUAUUUGGCCCUUCAAUCCUGACAUUUUUGAGGAGUGUGACUAUGCACCCUCACAAGUCACUGACCGUCCCGACCCAGGUACAUCACUGACAUCUGAAGCUUUCCAGCCGCAGUCUCCACCAACUCACCUGGGGACAGUCUCCUCUCCUCCAACUCACCUGGAGACUACUACUUCUGGCUCCUCUGCAGUUAUUGAUGUGAACAUGUCCUGUGCUCCAGAUGAGCCAAGCACCUCGGGGGUGUCUCCUGGUUAGCCAUUCAAUCCUUUGGCUAUGUGGCCAUUUCCAAAAGCAGGGCCAAGGAAAACAACUGGCAGGAUCAGGAAGAAAAGGAAAUCUGAAAUACUCAAUGACACACCAGUGAAAGAAGCACUGAUGGAAGAAGAACAGAGAAGAGGAAGCAAACAUGUAAGGAAGAGUUUCUUUGCAAA
Long non-coding RNA from Poecilia latipinna (sailfin molly), 853 nucleotides. RefSeq lists it as uncharacterized. The record is from RefSeq and is a predicted model, not a curated record. Lineage: Eukaryota; Metazoa; Chordata; Actinopteri; Cyprinodontiformes; Poeciliidae. The transcript is spliced from 2 exons.